This 292-nucleotide ribosomal RNA is filed under the name uncultured bacterium. RNAcentral describes it as "partial 16S ribosomal RNA". It matches the Rfam family "Bacterial small subunit ribosomal RNA", at positions 505 to 796 of the family's 1533-position model. The record is from RNAcentral.
GUGUCAGCAGCCGCGGUAAUACGGAGGGUGCAAGCGUUAUCCGGAUUCACUGGGUUUAAAGGGUGCGUAGGAGGGUAGGUAAGUCAGUGGUGAAAUCCCCGAGCUUAACUUGGGAACUGCCGUUGAUACUAUCUAUCUUGAAUAUCGUGGAGGUGAGCGGAAUAUGUCAUGUAGCGGUGAAAUGCUUAGAUAUGACAUAGAACACCAAUUGCGAAGGCAGCUUGCUACACGAAUAUUGACUCUGAGGCACGAAAGCGUGGGGAUCAAACAGGAUUAGAAACCCUUGUAGUCC